GAUGAACGCUAGCGGGAGGCCUAACACAUGCAAGCCGAGCGGUAUUUGUUCUUCGGAACAGAGAGAGCGGCGCACGGGUGCGGAACACGUGUGCAACCUGCCUUUAUCUGGGGGAUAGCCUUUCGAAAGGAAGAUUAAUACCCCAUAAUAUAUUGAGUGGCAUCAUUUGAUAUUGAAAACUCCGGUGGAUAGAGAUGGGCACGCGCAAGAUUAGAUAGUUGGUGAGGUAACGGCUCACCAAGUCAAUGAUCUUUAGGGGGCCUGAGAGGGUGAUCCCCCAAACUGGUACUGAGACACGGACCAGACUCCUACGGGAGGCAGCAGUGAGGAAUAUUGGACAAUGGGUUAGCGCCUGAUCCAGCCAUCCCGCGUGAAGGACGACGGCCCUAUGGGUUGUAAACUUCUUUUGUAUAGGGAUAAACCUACUCUCGUGAGAGUAGCUGAAGGUACUAUACGAAUAAGCACCGGCUAACUCCGUG
RNAcentral lists this ribosomal RNA (479 nucleotides) under uncultured bacterium. Its description in RNAcentral is "partial 16S ribosomal RNA". It matches the Rfam family "Bacterial small subunit ribosomal RNA", at positions 28 to 507 of the family's 1533-position model. The record is from RNAcentral.